This 492-nucleotide ribosomal RNA is filed under the name uncultured bacterium. RNAcentral describes it as "partial 16S ribosomal RNA". It matches the Rfam family "Bacterial small subunit ribosomal RNA", at positions 29 to 507 of the family's 1533-position model. The record is from RNAcentral.
AGUGAACGCUGGCGGUAGGCCUAACACAUGCAAGUCGAACGGCAGCACAGUAAGAGCUUGCUCUUACGGGUGGCGAGUGGCGGACGAGUGAGGAAUACAUCGGAAUCUACUUUUUCGUGGGGGAUAACGUAGGGAAACUUACGCUAAUACCGCAUACGACCUACGGGUGAAAGCAGGGGAUCUUCGGACCUUGCGCGAUUGAAUGAGCCGAUGUCGGAUUAGCUAGUUGGCGGGGUAAAGGCCCACCAAGGCGACGAUCCGUAGCUGGUCUGAGAGGAUGAUCAGCCACACUGGAACUGAGACACGGUCCAGACUCCUACGGGAGGCAGCAGUGGGGAAUAUUGGACAAUGGGCGCAAGCAUGAUCCAGCCAUACCGCGUGGGUGAAGAAGGCCUUCGGGUUGUAAAGCCCUUUUGUUGGGAAAGAAAAGCAGCAGGUUAAUACCCCGCUGUUCUGACGGUACCCAAAGAAUAAGCACCGGCUAACUUCGUG